GAUGAACGCUGGCGGCGUGCCUAAUACAUGCAAGUCGAGCGAACAGACGAGGAGCUUGCUCCUCUGACGUUAGCGGCGGACGGGUGAGUAACACGUGGAUACCCUACCUAUAAGACUGGGAUAACUUCGGGAAACCGGAGCUAAUCCCGGAUAAUAUAUUGAACCGCAUGGUUAAAUAGUAAAAUACGGUUUUGCUGUCACUUAUCGAUGGAUCCGCGCCGCUUUAGCUAGUUGGUAAGGUAACGGCUUACCAAGGCGACGAUGCGUAGCCGACCUGAGAGGGUGAUCGGCCACACUGGAACUGAGACACGGUCCAGACUCCUACGGGAGGCAGCAGUAGGGAAUCUUCCGCAAUGGGCGAAAGCCUGACGGAGCAACGCCGCGUGAGUGAUGAAGGUCUUCGGAUCGUAAAACUCUGUUAUUAGGGAAGAACAAAUGUGUAAGUAACUAUGCACGUCUUGACGGUACCUAAUCAGAAAGCCACGGCUAACUACGUG
RNAcentral lists this ribosomal RNA (497 nucleotides) under uncultured bacterium. RNAcentral's name for it is "partial 16S ribosomal RNA". It matches the Rfam family "Bacterial small subunit ribosomal RNA", at positions 28 to 507 of the family's 1533-position model. The record is from RNAcentral.